RNAcentral lists this ribosomal RNA (305 nucleotides) under uncultured bacterium. RNAcentral describes it as "partial 16S ribosomal RNA". It matches the Rfam family "Bacterial small subunit ribosomal RNA", at positions 508 to 807 of the family's 1533-position model. The record is from RNAcentral.
ACAGCAGCCGCCGCGGUAAUACGAAGGGUGCAAGCGUUACUCGGAAUUACUGGGCGUAAAGCGUGCGUAGGUGGUGGUUUAAGUCCGUUGUGAAAGCCCUGGGCUCAACCUGGGAAUUGCAGUGGAUACUGGGUCACUAGAGUGUGGUAGAGGAUAGUGGAAUUUCCGGUGUAGCAGUGAAAUGCGUAGAGAUCGGAAGGAACAUCUGUGGCGAAGGCGACUAUCUGGGCCAACACUGACACUGAGGCACGAAAGCGUGGGGAGCAAACAGGAUUAGAUACCCGCGUAGUCCCUGUCUCUUAUAC